UACAUAGGGUGCAAGCGUUAUCCGGAUUUAUUGGGCGUAAAGGGUGCGUAGACGGAGAAGCAAGUUAGUUGUGAAAUCCCUCGGCUUAACUGAGGAACUGCAACUAAAACUACUUCCCUUGAGUCUCGGAGAGGAAAGUGGAAUUCCUAGUGUAGCGGUGAAAUGCGUAGAUAUUAGGAGGAACACCAGUGGCGAAGGCGGCUUUCUGGACGAUAACUGACGUUGAGGCACGAAAGUGUGGGGAGCAAACAGG
Molecule: ribosomal RNA, 253 nt
Filed under: uncultured Eubacteriales bacterium
Lineage: Bacteria; Bacillati; Bacillota; Clostridia; Eubacteriales
Description: uncultured Clostridiales bacterium partial 16S ribosomal RNA
Rfam family: Bacterial small subunit ribosomal RNA
Source: RNAcentral